ACCACUAUCCACCUGCCCAGCCCAUCCCUCUUGCCCUUUGGUCCAGAAGCAGCAGAUUCAGGGGACACUCCAAGAUGAGCUUCCAAGCCCAGCUCCUGUGUCUCCUGGCGAUAGGCUUUCAGGGCUGUGGAGGGCGGCACAUCCUGACCCAGUUCCCAGAGACCCUGGCGGUAUCUCCGGACAGCUUCAUCUCCAUCACCUGUCAAAGCAGCAUAGACAUAGGCACCUCCAUGGCCUGGUACCAGCAGAAGCCUGGUGAGGCUCCCAGGCUGCUCAUCUUUGGGGCUUAUGCCCGGGCUGCUGGAACCCCGUCCCGGUUCCAGGGAAGCGGCUCUGGCUCUGAUUUCUCCCUCACCAUCCAUGGAGUGGAGGCUGAAGACAUGGGGGUAUAUUACUGCCAGCAGCACUUCAGCUGGCCUCCCUCAGUGACAGGUCCCCAGACAAAAAUAUCCUGUCUGGGCUGUGGGUGCCAGUUGUUGAACAAAGACAUCUGCUUCCUGUAGGAGGCUGCAGCAUGAGGGAAGUGAUAUACCCAGUGUUUAUUUAGACUUUAUGCUUUCAGAGUCUGUGUCUUCUGACCUUGUGAAGCAAGGGCAGGUUGGAGAGUUAUUGUCUCACAUUUAAACCAGUUUUACAGGGGCAUCUGGUGGCUCAGUGGUUGAGUGUCUGCCUUUGGCUCGGGUGGUGAUCCUGGGGUCCUGGGAUCAAAUCCACAUCAGGCUGCCCACAAGG
Canis lupus familiaris (dog) is the source of this 732-nucleotide non-coding RNA. The record is from the annotation of a RefSeq genome assembly. NCBI's taxonomy places the organism in Eukaryota, Metazoa, Chordata, Mammalia, Carnivora, Canidae.